RNAcentral lists this ribosomal RNA (841 nucleotides) under uncultured bacterium. Its description in RNAcentral is "bacterial SSU rRNA". It matches the Rfam family "Bacterial small subunit ribosomal RNA", at positions 51 to 888 of the family's 1533-position model. The record is from RNAcentral.
ACACAUGCAAGUCGAACGAAGCUUGACGGAUGAUUUCUUCGGAAUGAAACCUGGUAUGACUUAGUGGCGGACGGGUGAGUAACACGUGAGCAACCUGCCUUUCAGAGGGGGAUAACGGCUGGAAACGGUCGCUAAUACCGCAUGACGUGUUCGGAUGGCAUCAUCUGAACAUCAAAGAUUUAUCGCUGAAAGAUGGGCUCGCGUCUGAUUAGAUAGUUGGUGGGGUGACGGCCUACCAAGUCGACGAUCAGUAGCCGGACUGAGAGGUUGAACGGCCACAUUGGGACUGAGAUACGGCCCAGACUCCUACGGGAGGCAGCAGUGGGGAAUAUUGCACAAUGGGGGAAACCCUGAUGCAGCAACGCCGCGUGAAGGACGACGGUUUUCGGAUUGUAAACUUCUUUUCUUAGUGACGAAGACAGUGACGGUAGCUAAGGAAUAAGCAUCGGCUAACUACGUGCCAGCAGCCGCGGUAAUACGUAGGAUGCAAGCGUUAUCCGGAUUUACUGGGUGUAAAGGGAGCGCAGGCGGGACUGCAAGUUGGAUGUGAAAUACCGUGGCUUAACCACGGAACUGCAUCCAAAACUGUAGUUCUUGAGUGAAGUAGAGGCAAGCGGAAUUCCGAGUGUAGCGGUGAAAUGCGUAGAUAUUCGGAGGAACACCAGUGGCGAAGGCGGCUUGCUGGGCUUUAACUGACGCUGAGGCUCGAAAGUGUGGGGAGCAAACAGGAUUAGAUACCCUGGUAGUCCACACUGUAAACGAUGAUAGCUAGGUGUGGGGGGUCUGACCCCUUCCGUGCCGGAGUUAACGCAAUAAGCUAUCCACCUGGGGAGUACGACCG